Molecule: long non-coding RNA, 289 nt
Filed under: Lathyrus oleraceus (garden pea)
Lineage: Eukaryota; Viridiplantae; Streptophyta; Magnoliopsida; Fabales; Fabaceae
Description: Pisum sativum (pea) long non-coding RNA (PSAT_LNC015752)
Source: RNAcentral
UAUGUCUAUGGCAAAUCAAAAGAGAAAUGAGGCGACCAUCAAGGAUCUUGAAAUUUUAAUGAAAUUUUAACUAGGAGUUGUAAAGAAGUGGGAAAAGGAAUUGGUGAUGAGGUUGAAAGAGAGGAAGUUGUGAUAGAAGAAGAGAAAGAAGUUGAGAGCUAAGUAUAACAAAAAAAUAAAUAUGAGGUAUUAGUUGAAAAUGAGAACAUUGAAAGUGAGGAUCUAGAAAAGAAAAAAAAGUGAUGAAAAGAAGAAGAAAGCUCGAGAGGAGAAAAGGAAACUGAAGAGU